Planococcus citri (citrus mealybug) is the source of this 1096-nucleotide long non-coding RNA. RefSeq lists it as uncharacterized. The transcript is spliced from 4 exons. Lineage: Eukaryota; Metazoa; Arthropoda; Insecta; Hemiptera; Pseudococcidae. The record is from RefSeq and is a predicted model, not a curated record.
AGAAAAAUGCUUGUCGAAGAUUUAUGGUCAUCCAUCAAACAGUGGUCAAGUUUUCAGUGAUGAUAUUGGCGACAUAGAUCGCAACAUUUUCGACGUGGGAUCAACCGGUUUUUUCGGUGUCCAGAAAUUAUGGUUACAAUCGAUAAGGAGGAGAAAAAGAAAUUCGGCUGAUAUAAAGAGCGGUCAUCAUUCUAGAAUUUUGAGUUCGUGGGAUAGGUUCGGAAUGAUUGGUACGAAUGUAUUCGUGGUUGCCGAAAAACAGUGAUAGGUACGAUGUUGAAAGUCGACUCGCGAAAAGGAAUGACCUAAAUCAAUCGUACUUUCAAGAUUUAUUUGAGGCUACGGGAGCUUCCCAUUAUCCUAGAAUUUUGGGAAAGUGAAAUGGAAUUGACGACUAGGAAUGUGUUUUGUAACCAUCAUCGGGGGAAAUUCUUGAAUAACAAACAAGUGAGCUAUAAAUUUGGAUUUUACGUGUGAAUACUAUUCCUAUCUAUUUUUCGAAUGGUGUGUAAUUUUGUACAGGUUUUCAGAAUUUGAAAUUUCGACGAUAUUUUGGGAAGCUGUGUUGAUUUGAAAUUCCUUAUCUUAUGGUCAUUAACGUACUGCAAAUUUUGGCGAAAACGUGUGAUGUUGAACCGGAUCUAGAUCCUAAUUUGUAGAUUCAUUCAUCGUGUACAAGGAAUAAAAUACUUCAGCGAUGUAUUUUAUCGUUCCUGAAUGCUACUUCUAAUACAGAUUUUUUGAAAAAAUAUAUGAUCGUUUUGAGUGCACAAAAGGAGCGACGUGGGACCGAAGAAUUUAGCAACCGGAUUCAUGCUUCAAUAUUGGGUGAGAGUUGAUUAAUUUAUUUAUUUAGACGCUGUUAAUUUGGAUUAUGAUCGAGAAGAAUUUUUUGAAGAAAUGUGGACACGGAUAAUGUGUAUUCGAAUCGAAGAAAAUGAAGAUUUCAAAUUUCACGACGUGAUACAGCUUGGGAUAAUGGUGACGGGUAACAAACGAAGGCUACAUGUGUUUUUGAAGUAUCCAGCGUUUAUUAUCCGUAGCUGUUAUUUCCUCACACAUUCGCCAAAUAUGGGACUUGAAUUGAGAAAUGAUG